UGCGCAGGCGGUUCUGCAAGUCAGAUGUGAAAUCCCCGGGCUUAACCUGGGAACUGCGUUUGAAACUACGGAGCUAGAGUACGGCAGAGGGGGGUGGAAUUCCACGUGUAGCAGUGAAAUGCGUAGAUAUGUGGAGGAACACCGAUGGCGAAGGCAGCCCCCUGGGCCGAUACUGACGCUCAGGCACGAAAGCGUGGGGAGCAAACAGGAUUAGAUACCCUGGUAGUCCACGCCCUAAACUAUGUCAACUAGUUGUCGGGGAAGCAAUUCCUUGGUAACGAAGCUAACGCGUGAAGUUGACCGCCUGGGGAGUACGGUCGCAAGAUUAAA
RNAcentral lists this ribosomal RNA (330 nucleotides) under uncultured bacterium. RNAcentral describes it as "bacterial SSU rRNA". It matches the Rfam family "Bacterial small subunit ribosomal RNA", at positions 568 to 898 of the family's 1533-position model. The record is from RNAcentral.